Molecule: ribosomal RNA, 441 nt
Filed under: uncultured bacterium
Lineage: Bacteria
Description: partial 16S ribosomal RNA
Rfam family: Bacterial small subunit ribosomal RNA
Source: RNAcentral
CCUACGGGUGGCAGCAGUGGGGAAUAUUGCACAAUGGGGGAAACCCUGAUGCAGCGACGCCGCGUGAGUGAAGAAGCUUUUCGGCUUGUAAAGCUCUAUCCGCAGGGAAGAAAAAGGACGGUACCUAACUAGAAAGCCCCGGCUAACUACGUGCCAGCAGCCGCGGUAAUACGUAGGGGGCAAGCGUUAUCCGGAUUUACUGGGUGUAAAGGGGGCGCAGACGGCAGGGCAAGUCAGGAGUGAAAGCCAGGGGCUCAACCCCGGGACUGCUGUUGAAACUGGGCGGCUGGAGUGCAGGAGAGGUAGGCGGAAUUCCUAGUGUAGCGGUGAAAUGCGUAGAUAUUAGGAGGAACACCGGUGGCGAAGGCGGCCUGCUGGACUGCAACUGACGUUGAGGCUCGAAAGCGUGGGGAGCAAACAGGAUUAGAUACCCGUGUAGUC